GACUAAGCCAUGCAUGCCUUCGAAUAGAAGACGCAAUCUCUCUGAAUCUGCGAACGGCUCCGCAUACCAGUUGUAAACCAUAGCGAGCUAACCUUGGGAAGACCCGAUCAAAAGGGACGACCCUUGGUUGGACAUGGAUACCCGUGGUAAUUCUGAGGCUAAUACAAGGACAUAUGACCUGGCUAACCGGGCAACUGGAAGGCUGGGGGUUGUGUGAAGCUUUACUGCAACACCGACCUAUGAGAUGAUGCACAAUCAGACCACCAUACCAAACGGUCUCGUUCCGCGGUCAGUACCCUCGGGGAAAGCCAAGGUGCUUGACUGGGUGGCUCUCGCUUCGUGCUUCUGACCUAUCAACUAGAUGGCAGCGUAACGGACAUGCUAUGGUUACAACGGGUACAGAGGAUAAGGGUUCGAUCCUGGAGAGUGGGCCUGAGAGAUUGCUCACACUUCUAAGGAAGGCAGCAGGCGCGCAACGUUCCCAAUGGGUAACACCUGAGGGCGUUAGGGGACAUAUGAAUGCCUGCCAUUAGGUGGGCAAUUCAAAUGGGACUGUUCUAAACAGCCUAUCGAGUAACAAUUAGAGGACAAGUCUGGUGUGCCAAAUGCCAGAUGUCAGGUACGGAGAAACCCCGUUACCACCCAACCUUUUCCCCCCCAUUAACACCGGUCAGGGUGUAUUGGGGGGGGGGAGCGAGGGGGGUAUACGGGCAAUCCCCGUACCUGGCAAAAAGCCGGAUAUGAGCACCGGCUGUACAUUCGUAAAUUGCGGGGAAGGCUGGGUAUGGGAGUGCCACGGCGGCCUGGGGGUAACCCCAGGUGCAGCAGGUGUCGUAAUGGUCACCGGAUCGUAACAGCGCACUCUCAGGCGAGGGGAUUGUCCAAUCCCCGCAUCUCGCUCGCUCCCAUCGGUGCAACGAUGGGAACGGGCGGGGUAGCCACCCCAGUCAAUCCGCAGCCAAGCCUCCCCUCUGACCGGGGGAGGAAGGUUCAAAGACUACAAUCGAAUGGGGGGUACCCAGUAGGCCUGAUCAGCCGAACAGUAGCCCCUUAAGGUAUAGUCCACUCCCCCCAGCAAUGGGGCCAACAGAGUAGGGGAUGGCUCAUCCCUGAGGGCAGUUGGAUCCAAUGGUACCAGGACCGAAAUACCUGGUCUCCGGAUGGUACAUAGGGCCAGCACCCGCGGUAAUUCCAGCUCUAAUAGCAUACGUUAAAGUUGUUGCGGUUAAAACGCUCGUAGUCGCCACCAGACCUUCAGAUACCUUCCAUUGCGAUGUGGGCCUGCACUCUGUUUCAACAAAACGGGUGCGCCACUGAGCUCUGAGGGCGGACGUCGGUCAAUCGUGCUUUUGGUCACCUGGGUUACCUCGGUUUCCCGGUUAAAAGGCUACCCGUAUCCGAGACUCCGGUCAAGGGUACGGGUGGUUGGCUGACUGCACCGUUUACUAUGAUUAAACUGGAGUGCUCAAAGCCGGUCACUUUGACUCGUACAGCGCAGCAUAGUAUAACGAUACCCGGUUCGGUACGUUGCAGGUACCGGACCGGGUAAAAGAUUAAGGGAUGUUCGAGGGUGACCGAAUUACUGGGCGAGUGGUGAAAUACGUUGACCCUAGUAAGUCGACCAAAGGCGAAAGCAGUCAUCAAGGGCAUGCCCGUUGAUCAAGAGCGAAAGUUAAGGGUUCGAAGACGAUCAGAUACCGUCGUAGUCUUAACUAUAAACGAUGCAAACCAGGGAUAGGACACUGUCCAUCUCGACUCCUCCCGGACCUCGGAGAAAUUACAGUCUUUGGGUUCUGGGGGGAGUAUGGUCGCAAGGCUGAAACUUAAAGGAAUUGACGGAAGGGCACACAAAGAGUGGAACCUGCGGCUUAAUUUGACUCAACACGGGAAAACUCACCAGGUCCGGAUACACGUAUGAAAGUCAAGCUGAAAGACUUUACCCAAUGAUGUAAGUGGUGGUGCAUGGUCGUUCGUGGUUCGUGGAUUGAUUUGUCUGGUUAAUUCCGAUAACGAGCGAGACCCUAUCGUUCCUAAUAUGGGGCUAUAGCCCAACCGGUCGAAAGGCCGGUUAGCUACAGCUUAAGAUUAGCUUCUUAGACGUAUCAGAGCCGAUAAGGUUCUUGAAAUGGGUUAAUAACAGGUCAGUCAUGCCCUUAGAUGUUCUGGGCCGCACGCGCGUUACAAUGGCAUGUAAAACGAGUGCUUACUGGUAAGCUUACCGUGGUUGAGAGGCAACGGCAAUCCAUAAUCCCUACCUUGACUGGGAUAGAUCAUUGCAAUUAUUGGUCUUUAACGAGGAAUUUUUAGUAAUAGCCAGGUCAUUAACCUGCGCUGAAUGCGUCCCUGCCCUUUGUACACACCGCCCGUCGCUGCUACCGAUUGGACCUCAGAGUUACGAGUUCAGAGAUCGAGUAAGGCCUCCGACGCAAGUUGGCUGGCUAAGCCCGAUCGAAGUCCUAAUUACUCUGAGGUCUAGAGGAAGCAGAAGUCGUAAAACAAGGUAA
RNAcentral lists this ribosomal RNA (2504 nucleotides) under Physarum notabile. Its description in RNAcentral is "SSU rRNA". It matches the Rfam family "Eukaryotic small subunit ribosomal RNA". The record is from RNAcentral. Lineage: Eukaryota; Evosea; Eumycetozoa; Physariida; Physaraceae.